Molecule: ribosomal RNA, 253 nt
Filed under: uncultured bacterium
Lineage: Bacteria
Description: partial 16S ribosomal RNA
Rfam family: Bacterial small subunit ribosomal RNA
Source: RNAcentral
UACGGAGGGUGCAAGCGUUAUCCGGAUUCACUGGGUUUAAAGGGAGCGUAGGUGGGUUGGUAAGUCAGUGGUGAAAUCCCCGAGCUUAACUUGGGAACUGCCAUUGAUACUAUCAGUCUUGAAUACUGUGGAGGUUAGCGGAAUAUGUCACGUAGCGGUGAAAUGCUUAGAUAUGACAUAGAACACCAAUUGCGAAGGCAGCUGGCUACACAAAUAUUGACACUGAGGCUCGAAAGCGUGGGGAUCAAACAGG